GAUGAACGCUGGCGGCGUGCCUAAUACAUGCAAGUCGAGCGAACAGACGAGGAGCUUGCUCCUCUGACGUUAGCGGCGGACGGGUGAGUAACACGUGGAUAACCUACCUAUAAGACUGGGAUAACUUCGGGAAACCGGAGCUAAUACCGGAUAACAUGUUGAACCGCAUGGUUCAACAGUGAAAGACGGUUUUGCUGUCACUUAUAGAUGGAUCCGCGUCGCAUUAGCUAGUUGGUAAGGUAACGGCUUACCAAGGCAACGAUGCGUAGCCGACCUGAGAGGGUGAUCGGCCACACUGGAACUGAGACACGGUCCAGACUCCUACGGGAGGCAGCAGUAGGGAAUCUUCCGCAAUGGGCGAAAGCCUGACGGAGCAACGCCGCAUGAGUGAAGAAGGUCUUCGGAUCGUAAAACUCUGUUAUUAGGGAAGAACAAAUGUGUAAGUAACUAUGCACGUCUUGACGGUACCUAAUCAGAAAGCCACGGCUAACUACGUG
RNAcentral lists this ribosomal RNA (497 nucleotides) under uncultured bacterium. RNAcentral describes it as "partial 16S ribosomal RNA". It matches the Rfam family "Bacterial small subunit ribosomal RNA", at positions 28 to 507 of the family's 1533-position model. The record is from RNAcentral.